AUGUCAUGAUGUGGACACUUCUUAAGCAAAUCGUUGAAUUUUUCCCAUGCCUCAUGAAAUAAUUCCCCAUCCCCCUGACAAAAUUCUCUAAUUGAAAUUCUCAUUGC
Small nucleolar RNA from Cornus florida, 107 nucleotides. The record is from RefSeq and is a predicted model, not a curated record. Lineage: Eukaryota; Viridiplantae; Streptophyta; Magnoliopsida; Cornales; Cornaceae.